GAGGGAAACGCCCGGUCACAUUCCGAACCCGGAAGCUAAGACUCUUUGCGCCGAUGGUACUGCAGGGGGGACCCUGUGGGAGAGUAGGACACCGCCGGAC
RNAcentral lists this ribosomal RNA (100 nucleotides) under Cryobacterium sp. TMB3-1-2. Lineage: Bacteria; Bacillati; Actinomycetota; Actinomycetes; Micrococcales; Microbacteriaceae. The record is from RNAcentral.